GCCUGGGUGGCUCAGUCAGUUGAGCAUCUGAUUUUGGCUCAGGUCAUGAUCUCACGUUUUGUGGGUUUGAGCCCUGCGUCGGGCU
Molecule: transfer RNA, 85 nt
Organism: Felis catus (domestic cat)
Lineage: Eukaryota; Metazoa; Chordata; Mammalia; Carnivora; Felidae
Rfam family: tRNA
About the family: Transfer RNA (tRNA) molecules are approximately 80 nucleotides in length. Their secondary structure includes four short double-helical elements and three loops (D, anti-codon, and T loops).
Source: Rfam